This is an RNA transcript of Rhinopithecus roxellana (golden snub-nosed monkey), 5297 nucleotides long. It is a transcript of the gene named ATP-dependent 6-phosphofructokinase, platelet type-like, with no coding region annotated. The transcript is spliced from 4 exons. NCBI's taxonomy places the organism in Eukaryota, Metazoa, Chordata, Mammalia, Primates, Cercopithecidae. The record is from RefSeq and is a predicted model, not a curated record.
UCACCUGACGCUGUCGUAGGUGAUGCCGUAUGGAAAUGAGGACCCAUGUUCCGCAUACCUGAGCCAGUACCCGUCUCCCUCCAGGGCCGUGGCCGAGCCCUCCUGAUUUCGCUGGGUGGCCAGCCUGGGGAUCUGUAAGCCCAGUGACGUCUGUGGUCUCGGCCCCCUCCCCGUGGGGACAGGAGGUGGCUUCAGGAGGCUGGUGAUGAAUGCCUGAAUGAAGCCAACUUGUGACUGCAGUUCUGUCUAAGGGCCUCCCCGGGUGUUAGAUGUCAGUAAGUGACACCUGUGUGUGGAUCUCAUGUGAUGAGAGAAACAGUGGGGGAAACCAAAGCUUGUGGAGUCUGCAGGUUCUGGACUUGGGGAUGUGUGCACCUGUGUACUUGGUGAGGGGUGCGAUGUCUGGAAUGAGUGUGCACGUGUGUCACGUAUUUGCAUGUGUGGUGAGUGUAUUUAGCAGGUGUGUGUGGAGUGAGUGUUCAUGCGUGUGUCGUGUAUAUUUGAGGGCGUGUGGAGUGUGUACACGCAUGACAUUUGGUGAGUGUAUUUGAGGGUGUGUAUGGAGCGCAUAGAUGCGUUUGCCUGUAUAGUAUUGGGUGAAGGGGUGGCAUGUGUGGAGCAAGCAUGCACACGUGUGUGCUGUGUGUGGGGUUUCUACCUGGUCCUCCCCUGAGCCUGCUCCUGGGCCCUGCUGUCCUGGCAGCUUUACAGUUUGGUGUGUCUUUGAUUCUGGAACCCGAUUCUGAAGCUGUGACCACAAACUUGCAGCCCUGGAGGACGCUGGCCCGUGGAGCCGGCACGAGGAUCUCGGUGCUGGCCUCUCCCUGGGCUGGGCUCUGUCCACAGCAGAGCAUGUCCGAUGACUGAGCUGUGCGCGUCUGUGGCUCCCCAGCCUCGAGUCAGCCCUCGGUUCUGUCCCACCUCUGUUUUUCUUGCUGAGGGGCUCCGGGAAGUCGGUGCCUGGGAUGACGUUUUCACCCCGGGGUUGCUUCACCAGCUGCCCAGGUGCUGGCUGCCUGAGCCCUGCUGCCGUUCUGGGUGGACGGGGCUGGCGUGGGGACGUCCCUGAGCACCUGCGGGAAGGCAGGUUUAGGAAGUGUCAGAGGUGAGUGGCUUUUUUUUAGGAAGUGGCUUUUUUUUAGGAGGUGUCAGAGGUGAGCGUGCCCCCGGGGUCUGCUCCCUGGAACCCCAGCCUUCCUGGUGAGACGAAAGGUUCUUUAGAGUGCCGUAAUCAUGCCCUCCUGGGCAGGCAGUUUCACCAACAUGUGCUUUGGGAGGAGUGGAUUCUUCCAGUCAUGGGCGUGGUGCUGACACCCGCAUGGUGGCCCCUCCUGUCCCUGAUAAGCUGACCCAGAGAGGGUCCUCAGCUGCAGACUGGACGGUGGCCCCUUUGGCACGUGGGGUCACGUCAGUGACUUGGCCGCCUGGUGCCUCCUGAAGAGCAGCCACUGGCCUUUACCUUAGAUGUUCACGUCCAAACCAGCUCCAGAGUUUGCGAUGAAAACUCCCAGCCCAGUUGGAGACUCCUUAGUUCAGCUUGGCACAGAACCUCGGAAAACAGCAGUUCUGUUCUGGGUCUUCCUUCAGAAUUGAGUUCCAUUCCAGGGAAGGGAGCGGAGGAGCCGUGAGGUCGGCUGCAGCCUCCUGUGCCUCCCACUCGAGCUGAGGGCCAUCUCUCUCCUGGGCUUCUCCCUGUCGCGUUCCCUGGUGAUGUGCUUUCUUUGCAGAGGUUGGCAACGGCUAGUUCCCUGGACUUCCUUGGGCCCCGCGCUUGACUCCUGUUCAUUGAAUGCUGUUAGGGUCUGGCCAUCGCUGGCUUUGCUCUCCUUUAGCACCUUGUAGAUGUCCACACGUGCUUCCACCCUCGCACCCUGUACACAGCACAGGACUACCCUGGCCAGCGGCUGUGCUUUGCUGCAGGUCCCUUGCUGUAGCAGGGAAGGGACCCCCACCCCCUGCCACGUCUGGCCACCGACAUCAGCAGAGGCUCGGCUGCCAUUAGGGAUACCAGUCAUGGGAAGACUGACCUCCAUGCAGAUUCACAGAGCAAGGUGGUUCUCACAGAGAAGUCAGGGGGUUUUUUCAUCCUUAACGCUGUAGCAAAUGCUGUCUUAUCUUUCACCACCAAUUUAUGUUUCUUAACACCACACCCAUGGAGCAAAGUGCUGGUGGUAUUUGAACUGUAGCCUGGGGCUCUCGCUCCCAUGGGACUCCUUGGGGAAUUUCCUAGCAAGAUCGUGUGUGUGCCCUUGCAGGGAGUUGUGUUGCUGGGCACAUCCCAUUGUGUGGUAAGAAUGGCUGAGGUCACACGCUCUUCCUGAUGAGUGCCACUCACAGCUGCUGUCCACGCAGGGCCAUGCUUGGGAUCGGCUGCCUUCUUGUCAGUGCUACUUUGACUAAUUGCCUGAGGUACCGUCAGAGUGACUUGAUAUUUUUAGAAGCUAAUUCAGGCUUCAGAUGCCAUCUAGGUAAUGAGGAGAGAGUUCAGGAAAGCUGUAUCUGAGCUCUAGCAGAGGCAGACUCUUCCGUUCCAGCUGUCACUGCGUUUACACUCAGAGGAGCACACGGUCGGGGGUGUGGAUCAGGUGUCAGGGCUGCGCUGUUCCACGCACCCACAGCGGCAGCCUUUCGCGACCAGAACUCGGACAUGCUCAGGCACAAAUCAGCCUCUCGGGAGAGCUGCUUACCCACAGAAUUCUUUUGUCAUUAAGCGGUUGAUGUCAUUCUUUGAAUGAGUGACAGUAAUUCCCCACCUCAGGGUGGGCUGCAGGGGAGAUUCAGUUGGAAAAAUAACCCAUGAGGCUUUGUGCCUCUGGGAGUCCUGAUGCCCCACCCACAUUUUCCUUCCCAUGCCCAGGAUUGUCUAAGACAAAGGGCAAGUCUUAAAGCCUUACGGCAUCUUAAGUCUUAGAUCGCAAUUAGAGAGAGACCCAGUACAGGUGGAACAGUGAAAUCCUCAGAAUUCUGCACUGGCCCUUCAAGAAGGCAGUUGUGGGCUCUUUGGACCCUUGACAGGUUUCUGUUCUCUGUCCUUCCUAAGCACAAAGAUGGAAAUUCUUCCCAUUGUCUGUUUCUCUCCCCAUCUCGGCUUCUACACAAUGCAAAGUGGCCCUCUAACUAGAGCCCAUGUUCUCUUUUGAAUACAUCAACCAAUUAUUUUGGGAGAAAAGAAUCUGCCAAAGAAACGAAGUAUAGGUUGGAAUGGUUUAAUCAAGCCUGUGUUUGUUCAACAAAGUGCGCUUUUAAAUUUCAUCUGAAGUGCUCAAGUGAAAAUUUCCCAGUGGGUGUUAAACUUUGGUGUAUAGACUCUCAUGUGGCUCCCAGUCUCAAGUCCACACCCCCACUUCAUGCUUUUACUCUUGGCCGAGUCCCAUGGAGGCCGGUUAGGGAAUCCUGCAGGAUCAGCCCUUGACCAGGACAGAUGGAUGGCCGGAUGGCUGGCUGGCUGGCUGGAGAAUACUUUGCUUAUGUCAUUCAGAGACAAGCAUUUCUUGAGCGCCUGCUGUGGGGGCUCGGCCAGGUCCUGCUGAUGGUGCAGUGGUGUGAGUCCAGCCCACAGUUCCUGCCCUCAUGGAAUUUGCAGCCUAGUGAGGACUGCAAGUCAAAUAACCACAAGGUAACUGCAGGGAGAGACACCGGGGUGAUUUCUAUGAAGAGAGGACAUGGGGUGCCCCGAGAGCCCCUGACAGAGGGAACUUUGCCAUCCUAGAAACCAGGCGGCGUUUUCAUGAGGAAAUGACAUUUCCCUCUGGGUCAGAGCUGAGGAAGGUGCCUGUGUGUGUCCCGUGGCCGCUGUGACCCUGACCACACACCUGGGGCUGGAAAAUAAUACUCACUCUCGCACAGCUCUGGAGGGCAGGAGCCAUGGGUUGAGGCCACAGUGUUUGCUCCAGGAGAGUCCCUCAUGGCCCAUUCAGGUGCCCAGAGCUGCGGGCCUUGCAUGCCUUGUUCCCUGGCACUGCCUCCUCCCAUAUGGGUGUGCAGCAUCCUGCUCCAGGGCCUUCAGCCUCUGCACCCCUCAUCUGCUGAUGCAGGUGGUGGCACUUAGGGCCCACCUGGGUAGUCCUCAGGAUUCACCUUUAUCACCGCAUGAGAGAACAUUCUCAGGUUUCAGACAUUAGGACCAGGAUUCCUUUGGGGGCCGCUCUCCCACCCACCACUGUGCCUGAAUGUGAUGCACACAGCGUCCAGCAUAUCCAGAGGCCCCAGGAGGACCUGGGGUGGCUGGAGCUAGAGUGGGACCUGGUGUCAGAAGCAGGUGGGGCCAGGGAUUCCCGAGAAAGGCUUGACGUGUACUUGAAGUGAGCAAAGGGUUUUGAAUGACUGGAUCAGAUUAACGUUUUUUAUAGAUGGGUCUCCAGUCUGUGUGAACAGAUUGCAGGGUGCCGGGGUGGGAGCUAAGGCCCAGGCAGAGGCUUUGCAGAGUCCCAGGAGAGGGCGCUGCAGCCCAGACUGGUGUGUGGGUGGGAAGGCGGCCGAUGCAUUUCUCUGCUGUUUUUCUCCCCGCUGAGUUUGGUUCCUCGUGGAGGGCGGAUGGCAGACAUUUCGCUCUGGGACCUGAUGCCUAUGCAUCCGAAAGACUUCCCCAGGUGACUGGGUCUAAGAACUACCGUCUGCCUUUGAGUAGAGUUUCUACAUACGUAACAUUCACCGAUGGAUAGAAGAUGGCCACAGCUCUAAAAUCACAGGGAGCUUUAGCAGAAGAAAAUAGAAGAUCACAGCUGUCCCCGUGGACUAAGCUGGCAGGUAGCUCUGCGAUGGUGGGUGCACCCUGGGCUGGAGUGACUGUGACCACAUCAAGCAGUCCGCCAGCAGGAACCAAGUGGCACGUGUUCACCAUCAAGUCCAUGGGCGGCUACUGUGGCUACCUGGCCAACCUGGGGGCUCGCGGCUGGAGCCGUUGCUGUAUACAUUUUCGAAGAGCCCUUCGACAUCAGGGAUCUGCAGUCCAGUGUGGAGCACCUGACGGAGAAAAUGAAGACCACCAUCCAGAGGGGCCUUGUGCUCAGGCACAGGAUUCCCAAAGAACAGUGGUGGCUCAAGCUGCGGCCCCUCAUGAAGAUCUUGGCCAAGUACAAGGCCAGCUACGACGUGUCAGACUCAGGCCAGCUAGAGCACGUGCAGCCCUGGAGCGUCUGACCCAGUCCUGCCUGCAUGUGCCUGCAACCUGGACUCACCGUGGACCAUCUGUUUUUGUAACACUUAAGUUAUUUGUCAGCACUUUAUUAAAGUAUUAUUGACAUUAAUACCUAACCAGCAAGCACCUGUCACCGCCCAUGUACCCCACCAGCUCCAGU